CACGUAGGGCGCAAGCGUUGUCCGGAAUUAUUGGGCGUAAAGAGCUCGUAGGCGGUCUGUUGCGUCCGCUGUGAAAACUCGGGGCUUAACCCCGGGCCUGCAUUCGAUACGGGCAGACUAGAGUUCGGUAGGGGAGUCUGGAAUUCCUGGUGUAGCGGUGAAAUGCGCAGAUAUCAGGAGGAACACCGGUGGCGAAGGCGGGACUCUGGGCCGAUACUGACGCUGAGGAGCGAAAGCGUGGGGAGCGAACAGG
This 253-nucleotide ribosomal RNA is filed under the name uncultured bacterium. Its description in RNAcentral is "partial 16S ribosomal RNA". It matches the Rfam family "Bacterial small subunit ribosomal RNA", at positions 524 to 776 of the family's 1533-position model. The record is from RNAcentral.